This 1254-nucleotide ribosomal RNA is filed under the name Triticum aestivum (bread wheat). RNAcentral's name for it is "partial small subunit ribosomal RNA". Lineage: Eukaryota; Viridiplantae; Streptophyta; Magnoliopsida; Poales; Poaceae. The record is from RNAcentral.
AUGCUGCCCCGCCACCUCCUACGCCUCUCCGCCGCCGUCUCCGGCGGCCUCCGCCGCUCCCUCGCCACCGCCGCCUCGCACCCGCCGUGGGCCGCGAUGUGCCACUCAGCGUGGACCGUCGGGGCGCCGGGCGCGCAGGUGCGCCUCGCCGAGCCGCCGCGCAUCUCCGAGGUGUACGUCCCGGAGCAGCUCCUCAAGACCGGCCCCCUCCCCGACCCCGACGGCGACUUCGUGCAAGGGCAUGGCGGCGCCGUCUGCGCCGCGAGCGCCGACGGCCUCCUCCUCCUCGUCUACGCGGAGACGCGCCUGUUUGCCCGCAUCGUCGCCAGGCAGGGCGGCCGCCCGCUGCGGCUGCCACCCCAAACCGACGCGCUCAAGAGCAUCGACCCCGACCACGUCCCCAGCGUCACGCGCUUCGUCCUCAACCCUCUCACGCGCCAGAUGACCCGCCUCCCGGACCGCGUGACCAAGUUCGAGGUCUCCCCGCUUUUCAACCUCCGCAUGGGCCUCCUCACCCAGGCCGAUCGCGGCCACGGCCCGCCUGACAGGUUCGCCGUCGCCGAGCUGCAGGAGGGGGACCUCAUGCUCCGGUUUCUCUCGGAAAAGGGCAGGUGGGAGAACGUGGUGCUCUCGCCGUGCCAACUCCCGUCUGCGCGGCGAAUGAAGAUCGACCAGCCGGCGCUGGCGUUCGGCGGUCGCCUGUGGUGGGUCGACGUGACCUGGGGCGCUGUCUCCGCCGACCCCUUCAGCGAUCGGCCGGAGCUCUCCUUCACCGAGCUGCCGAGGGGCAGCGUGCUAGCUGCAAGGAGCCCGCUGCCAGAAGCCGAUGCCGAGGUGUCUUGGCGUGAGUACCGGCGCGUGGAUGCAAGCCAAGGGCGGCUGCGAUACGUCGAGGUCUCUCAAAAGGAACCGUUUCUGCUCAGCUCCUUUGUGCUCGACAACGAUGGUACCGGCUGGACGCUGGAGCACCGGGUGGCCCUGAGCAAGCUCUGGGCGGAUGGAGGCCACCCAUGGCUGCCCUUACCGGCGGGGAAGACGCCACAAAUUGAGCUUCUUGACCCACUUGACGCCAAUGUGGUGUACCUCACGGUUGACAAGAAACACGUUAUCGUCGUGGACAUGAACACGAAGAAGGUGAUUGGGAGUUAUCUGUAUGGAAAUGACUUCUCUGUACCAUGUGUUCUUCCUCCGUGGCUUGGAUCGAGCCGGAUCCCUUCUGCAGGUAAGGACACCGGGAAACACAAGACUCUGUAA